AUUGAACGCUGGCGGCAGGCCUAACACAUGCAAGUCGAGCGGAUGAAGGGAGAUUGCUCUUGGAUUCAGCGGCGGACGGGUGAGUAAUGCCUAGGAAUCUGACUGGUAGAUGGGGCUAACGUCAGGAAAGGGGAGCUAAUCUCGCAUACGUCCAGAGGGUGAACGGCGGGGUUCUUCGGUCCUAACGCUACCUGCUGACCCUAGGUCGGAUUAGCUAGUUGGUGGGGUAAAGGCCUACCAAGGCGACGAUCCGUAACUGGUCUGAGAGGAUGAUCAGUCACACUGGAACUGAGACACGGUCCAGACUCCUACGGGAGGCAGCAGUAGGGAAUAUUGGACAAUGGGCGAAAGCCUGAUCCAGCCAUGCCGCGUGUGUGAAGAAGGUCUUCGGAUUGUAAAGCACUUUUAGUUGGGAAGAAGAGCAGUAAGAGAAUACCUUGCUGUUUUGACGGUACCAACAGAAUAAGCACCGGCUAACUUCGUG
This 484-nucleotide ribosomal RNA is filed under the name uncultured bacterium. RNAcentral describes it as "partial 16S ribosomal RNA". It matches the Rfam family "Bacterial small subunit ribosomal RNA", at positions 30 to 507 of the family's 1533-position model. The record is from RNAcentral.